RNAcentral lists this ribosomal RNA (719 nucleotides) under Pochazia shantungensis. RNAcentral's name for it is "partial large subunit ribosomal RNA". The record is from RNAcentral. Lineage: Eukaryota; Metazoa; Arthropoda; Insecta; Hemiptera; Ricaniidae.
UUUGAGUGCUGGAAUUUAAUUAAUUAAGGAUAUCAAUAUUACUUUUUUUUUUUGAUUUUAAUUUUAGGGGGAUAAGCUCUAUUUUUAUAAAAUUUUUUUUUAUUUUUUAUUUGUAGGAUUUGUAUUUUUCCACAUUUUAAUUUUUAAAAAAAUGUUUUUUAUUGUUUUUUUAUUUAAUUUUUUAUUGGGCCUUAUUAUUUAACUUUUUUUAUUUUUACAAAGAUUUAAUUUGUAAAAAUAAAAAUUUUUUUUAUGAAAUUGGCAAAAAUUUUUUUUCCCCGUUUUUUAAAAACAAUUUUUUUUGUUUUUUUUGGGGGUUUGGCCCGGUCAAAGAUAAUUUUAAAUAACCCCCGUUUUUUAACUGGGCCAAGGGAGCCUAAUAAAUUGUUUUUUAAAUGGGGUUUGGAAAGAAAGGUUUGGCGGAAAAAACCCCUUUUUUUUUAAAUUUUUUUGAAAUUUUUUUUUGGGGUAAAAUUUUCAAAUUUUUUAGAGGGGCGGUAAGACCCCUUAGAUUUUUAAAAAAUUUUUUUUUUUUUUUUUUUUGUUGUUUUUAAUUAAAGUUUUUUUGUAUUUUUUGGUUGGGGUGAUAAACAAAAAUUUAAACUUUGUUUUUUUUUUACAUUUAUUUAUGGUUUUUUGGAUCCUUUAUUAUUGAUUUAAAGAUAAAGAUACCUUAGGGAUAACAGCGUUAUUUAUUUGGAGAGUUCUUAUCGAUAAGA